GCACUGCUGAAGAGUCCCACAAUAGAACGAAACGGUCGCCCAGUGC
This 46-nucleotide non-coding RNA is filed under the name Schistosoma curassoni. Lineage: Eukaryota; Metazoa; Platyhelminthes; Trematoda; Strigeidida; Schistosomatidae. The record is from RNAcentral.